GCGGAGAUCAUAUCAACGUGAAACUGAAAGCAGAAUUAACUCUGUUUUCUGAGACACUCCGUCUGAGCAAAAGGACUUGUUAGGCUAUUCUUUUUCGAUAGACCUAUAUCUGAAGCCGUAUAAAGCUGUAGAAGAUGGUUCGGGUGUAUUUCAUCAGCAACGGAUUUGCAAACAAUUACCUCAAUGAGAUCAAGAUCCUCCUCCAGAGUAAAGUGAAGGUGACUGAAGCCAGAGAUCUAUCAGGAUGUGAUGUCAUGGUGGCCCUCUGUACCAUUGUUUCUCGAGUUGGAACAGAUGUCGAGGCUGCACUUCGAGAGAUUCCUACUGCAAAGCCUGGAGUUCUUGUGGUGCUUCAUCACACAUUUGAUAAAGACUACGUGGUACCAAACACCCAGAGGUUCAUGGAACACAGACACAUGAUUACAGCAGACCUGCUGGUCAACGAAGGUGAUGGAAUACUCAUUUGCCUAAGUAAUGAACAGUCCAUCAGAAAUGCUGCAGAUUUCCUACGCCAAAAUGAAACACACACACCUACACAUGCACACACUGGUAUGCUGAUCAACUGUGUUGAUGUCCCAAAAUGUUCACAAAGCAGAUUGAUAUCUUUGCUGUUUGCUUUGUUUUUCAUUGUAAUGGUUGUUUUGCUCAUCAUUGUAAUCUGGGUUCUAAUCUGAUGCGACUCCAUAAUUCCCAAUUGAAGAUCCAUGCAAUUCAUGGCCAAGCCCUACGGGCACCAAAAAUAUACCUGUGGGCAUCAACAGUGAUAUGACUAACCAGUGUCUUUUGCCUUUUGACUUCAAAGUAUUGUAGUUUAGAAGCUGUGAUAAACCUCAACUUCAAGCUGUCCACUGUCUCUUUAACCAUCAUUCUGUUACCUUUCUCGUUACUGUUGGGGAAUCAUGAGAAUGUACCAUAAUAAAAAAGCGAUCAGUUACGAAGAGCUCUUUUUUUUGCCAAAAAUAAUCACUGCAUUAU
Long non-coding RNA from Sardina pilchardus (European sardine), 975 nucleotides. RefSeq lists it as uncharacterized. NCBI's taxonomy places the organism in Eukaryota, Metazoa, Chordata, Actinopteri, Clupeiformes, Clupeidae. The record is from RefSeq and is a predicted model, not a curated record. The transcript has 3 exons.